Lolium rigidum is the source of this 1944-nucleotide long non-coding RNA. RefSeq lists it as uncharacterized. The record is from RefSeq and is a predicted model, not a curated record. The transcript has 3 exons. Lineage: Eukaryota; Viridiplantae; Streptophyta; Magnoliopsida; Poales; Poaceae.
CACGGUCGCCGCCGUGGUUCCGCGCCGCUGCUCCCCCGAGUCCUCCCACGACGCUGCGCUGCAACCCGUAGUGGCCGCCCUCUCGUCGACAACUAGCGAUUCGCAUCGAGCACCGAGAAAGGCUACACUAUGUGUUCCACAGCGAGAAGCGCAUAUGGCUCGUUUUUUAGUACCUGGAUCUGGACCUCAAGAAGUUCAUGGAUUCUUCUCCAGAGUUUGCCAAGAGCCCUGCUUUGAUCAAGUCAUCUCUAUCAGAUACUCUGCGGCGUUGCUUAUUGUCAUUCUCAUAGAGUUCUUCAUCGAGAUUUGAAACCUCAGAAUCUAUCGAUAGAUCGGCGUACUAACGCAUUGAAGCUUGCAGACUUUGGUUUAGCCAGGGCAUUUGGAAUCCCUGUUCGUACAUUUACUCAAGAGGUAUUUUUCUUCUAUUACUCGUUUACAAGCGCAUUGAGAACUGUUCCAGUACCACGUCGCCUUUUGGCAGGAUCUUAGUAUACAAUUUUGCAUCUUAGUAUGUACUACAUAUGAUUUUGCAUCUAAACAGGCUCAUUGUUCUUGUAUCAAACAACACCAUGGCACAUCAACUCACAAGGCAUGUCUAUGGGAAGUAUUUUGCAGAAAUGGUGAAGCAGAAGCCACUGUUUCCCGGCGAUUCUGAGAUUGAUGAAUUAUUUAAGAUAUUCAGGUUCGAUUCAUUUACUCAAGAGGUCAGUACAAUGGUUUCUUAUUUGAAUUCAGUAUGAUGUUUUCUUAUUAGAGGCCAGAACAAUGUUGAUUGACAGAUAGUGACAAGAAAGCAGUCGCAAAUUUUCCCAAGUGUUCCAAGUGAAUCUUUUGGAACAUAAGGUCGUUGGUUUACAUAUGUAGAAAUUACUAAUAUGGCACCUCAUGUUCCCUUCACAUGCCUGGUGCGUCAUCUGUUUUUGAGGCCUCUGACACUAUCAUGGCUUACUAAUGUGGGCAUUUUCGUGAUGGUGCUUAACUACUCAUGUAUUGGUUUCCAAAUAAUUUUCAUGAUGGUGCUUAAAUACUCAUGCACCGAUGCACAUGCCUACUGUCUGUAUUGUACACUAUCUUGAUCAUUCCAUCUGCAGUAGCUUGAUCAUUCUAUUCUAUGAACUUUCUCUGAAUUUAUAUACAUAUUCACUAUGAAUACUGAGAUUCAGAGACCAUUUAGCACAUGACAGUAGAGAUGAUUUUUUUCCAUCAACAUUUCCUUCUCCUUUAUUGAGUACCUCCAUUUUUUGGCUUUUUGAUAAUAUCAAUUUAGAGAACAUGAUUUAUUCAUUCUAGCAGUAUUCUGGAACUUGUCUACUAAAUAAAUUCAGAGAAAGGAAAGCAAAACAAUCUGGAACUUGUCUACUGAAUAAAUUCAGAUGAAAUUCAGAGAAACUACAGUAGAUAAAUUUGGAUUGUACCUUCAUUUUGAUUUUCUUCAUGUAUGAUGCCAUCAGGUGGACUGAAAUUCAGGUCUGAAGAACCAUGAGUCAAUAACUGCAAGUUUCAUAUCAGGAAUAAUGAGAAAAAAGGGAGGCGCGUCGGUGGUGGCCCCCGGGAAAGUAGGAUCAAGGGGGCGGCGACCAGCGAGCUGAUGUUGGGUGGAGGCCAGCGUGCUACUCUACUGAGGGCCGUCGAUCAGUGAUCCUCUGCUUGGUGCGGCGUCGUCGUGCUGCCGGGGAGCAGCUGGGUGAGAUAUAGGUGACGCUAGGAAGAAGGGAAUGUACCACAAUUGCUAUCGUUGUUAUUACUUUGUGGAAUUCAGUGUAAUUUUAACAGCUGAGGUACUAGAGCAUGUUCUAGAUAUUGUUUUCGGACAAGGUUCCAAAUGUUGGUUUCAGGCCUGUUGGUCUCAACACCAUGAUAACUGCAUAUAUUGAUUCCAAAUUUGGGAUCCUGUAAUUUGGGAUGCUGUGCAUUUUAAUGCAUGAUCAUGUCGGAUUUAAA